UUAAUAUGUCAAUUGAGUAAAUUAUUCCAAACAAAUCACUUUCAUUCUUGUACAAAACUUGCAGCACUUGAAAAAUCGAUGAUUUCUGAAUUUAAUUGAAAACGUAAUUAAAAAGUAAUAUUAUAUAAAAAUUUCGGAACAAGUACAGGUCUGCAGGUACGGUACUUCAAGGAUGCGUUGAUUUGAAAAUUGGAACUUUUCGGCUAAACUCAGUUAGCACGAUUGUUCUGCGUGACACAUUACUUUUUCGACAAUCGAGAAAACGUACAAUAUCAAUAGUUCUUUGUCUAUCAUACGCGCAACCACUGGUUCAUUCAUUGAUCCAAAUUGCCUAGUAUUAAUUUUUCGGGUAUUAUUUCGGCAACAGAAAACAUUUUUACUAUUUCAACUGCACACGAAAACCCACAAGCAGUCGCAGAACUAUCACAAAGUAGUAACACAUAUUACAUUUUUUUAUUCUUUCAGUUUGUUUAUUAUUGAAUAGAAAAAUUUAAUAUAUCUUAUUCGAUAAAUAUAAAAUUAAUUAUACCCGAACAAAAACCGAAGGCAGAGCAAUUGGUCACCGCACAGUUAACGGAAAAAAAUCUAAUAUUGAAUAUUGAAACACAAAGGUGUCGUCUUGUCGCGCGAGGACUAUAUGCGUUCUCCAGCAACAGUAAAUAAUACCACACUAACAAAAACAGAUUCGGUUAAACAUCUUGGAAUGCAUUUAAAUCGGAGACUCACGUGGGGGAUUCACACGUGUUGAAUUUUUCAAGUAUCCGUAAGUUUAUGGCCGCCACUGUAAAUUCAGCUCCGGACAUCAGGUCCGGUCUCUAAUAUCAAAAUAUUGGAAAGAUUUCAAAACAAAAUAUCCUGUGUAUAAUAACAAAUGUACUAUGGUACAUGACCACAAUAAAUUGAGGAAGGACCUCCAAAUAUUGACAAUAAAACAGGAAAUUGUCAACCACGCAAACAAAUAUUCCAACAG
Molecule: non-coding RNA, 970 nt
Organism: Megalopta genalis
Lineage: Eukaryota; Metazoa; Arthropoda; Insecta; Hymenoptera; Halictidae
Source: RefSeq, a predicted model, not a curated record